AUGUUAUUCUUCAGUAUUUGCAAAGCACUGAUAAAAACAUCUCUCUUCUCUCAAUCUUGCUUCCUUCUUUUCAUUUACUAAAUAGGCUUUUGAGCCUCACAAGACUUUGAGAUUUUAUGGAUAUGAAACCUGCUAUCAUUUAGCAUCCUGCCUCUGGGAAUAGACAUGGAUUCUCACUAUGACACCCAGGCUGGAGUGCAGUGGCACAAUCAUAGCUGACUACAGCCUCGAAUUUCUGGGCUCAAGCAAGGCUUUCAUCUCAACCUCCCCAGGAGCUGGGAUUACAGAUGGUGUCAGAAGCGGGGUUCAAAGUAGAGCUUUAAUGACCCCCAGAAGUGCUGAGUGAACAAGCAAGGUACCUGCAAGGACCCACUUGUGUCCUUUGAUCUCUCAGAGCAGUGGUAUUUACACACAGAUGCUCCAUGAUGGGUCACAUCCAAACUUAUCAUAAAGUCAAAAAAUUUUCUAGAGGCUGAUAAGUCCAAGCAUAUGGUGCCAGCAUCUGGUGAGGCCUUCUUGCUGUGUAAUCUCAUGGCAGAAGAGUGGAAGGACAAGUGAGCACAUGCAAAAGGGAUUGUACAAGGUGCUGAGCUGGCUUUAUUACAACUUGCUCUUGAGAUAACUACCAACUCUGAUGAUAGGACCUUAAUCUAUUCAUAAGGGUGCUGCCUAUGAUUUGAUUACCUCUUAAAGGCCCCACAUCUUAAUACUUUUACAAUGGCAAUUAAAUGUCAACAUGAGUUUCAGUGGAGACAAACAUUCAAACCAUAGCAAAGGCUUAGAAUAGAAUCCUAGGAAUUCCAAAAUUGCCAGACAGAGAAAAAGAUGACAGCUACAGAAUCUGUGAAAUAUGUUCAUCAAAGUAAAAAGAAAUCCAGACAGUCAGUGACCUGUGAGCCAAUGGAAGAGAGAGACCACACAGACUUAUCUUUUAGUCUCCAGAGGCAGAAAAAAAGCAGAAAAGGUUGUUGAAAUUCUUCACAUUGAUUUCAGGGCAAUGAUCUCAAACGGCGCAGUGGGAACCCGCAAAUUUAAGAGCCACCAUCCCGCAGCCAACGAUAAUAUCUGACACUUCCUGACAUCAUGAAAGCCACCAUCUGUCUAUCACCAAAACCCUGUACUUUUUAAAGACUACUUGGCUUGAUCCUUAAUGAAGCUUCAAGUUGAAUGCACAGAUCGCUUUAGAAGGAAUACAAGGAAUAAUUGACACAAG
Molecule: long non-coding RNA, 1213 nt
Organism: Homo sapiens (human)
Lineage: Eukaryota; Metazoa; Chordata; Mammalia; Primates; Hominidae
Source: Ensembl